RNAcentral lists this transfer-messenger RNA (371 nucleotides) under Spinactinospora alkalitolerans. RNAcentral describes it as "Standard tmRNA". It matches the Rfam family "transfer-messenger RNA". From Rfam's summary of the family: Bacterial tmRNA, also known as 10Sa RNA or SsrA, is named for its dual tRNA and mRNA-like properties. Its role is to liberate the mRNA from a stalled ribosome. To accomplish this part of the tmRNA is used as a reading frame that ends in a translation stop signal. The record is from Rfam by way of RNAcentral. Lineage: Bacteria; Bacillati; Actinomycetota; Actinomycetes; Streptosporangiales; Nocardiopsidaceae.
GGGGGUGAUCGGUUUCGACUUCGGUGGUUGUUCCAGGGGAAGCGGGCCGAGGACCGCGAUUGUAACCUCGUUAAUCCUGCGAUCGCACAAAUAACAAGUGCCAAUUCCAAGCGCACUGAGUUCGCUCUCGCUGCCUAAGCGAUAGCGUCUCUGUCGGCCUGAGCUCGUCUCCGGCUCAGGAUCCGGCAUCGUUAGGAGACUCACCGUUCAGAUCAGGCCACGGGGCCUGAGCGGGAAAAUCACGUGGCUGGGCUCGUCAGCGACACGUCUGCGUGAGCGCUGGAGCCGAGUAGAACGGCGAGCAGACUGCGCCCGGAGAAGCCCUGUUGCGGUACCGAAGGACGCGGGUUCAAUUCCCGCCACCUCCACGA